RNAcentral lists this long non-coding RNA (260 nucleotides) under Trifolium pratense (red clover). Its description in RNAcentral is "long non-coding RNA (TPRA_LNC008398)". Lineage: Eukaryota; Viridiplantae; Streptophyta; Magnoliopsida; Fabales; Fabaceae. The record is from RNAcentral.
UACAAUACACCAGAAAUCACUGAACACUUGCCAUCCUUUCUUUUGAUUGUUACAUCACCAAUAGCUUGUAUUGCAAGACUGCUAUUGUCUGCAAACUUCACAUUGUGAUUCUGAAUAGCCUUUAGGCUUGUGAACCAGUCUUUCCUCCCUGUCAUGUGUGUUGUACAUCCAGUGUCAAGAUACCACUUCUCUUGAAAGUCACUUUCAUCUUUUGUAGUUACAAGAAGCAUAACUGAGCCUUCAUCAUCAUCAUCAUCAUC